Molecule: small nuclear RNA, 107 nt
Organism: Artibeus jamaicensis (Jamaican fruit-eating bat)
Lineage: Eukaryota; Metazoa; Chordata; Mammalia; Chiroptera; Phyllostomidae
Source: RefSeq, a predicted model, not a curated record
GUGCUCACUUCAGCAGCACAUAUACUAAAGUUUCAGCAAUAUGGAGAAGAUUAGCACGGCCUCUGCGAAAGGAUGACAUGCAAAUUCAUGAAGCGAUCCAUAUUUUU